GAUGAACGCUAGCUACAGGCUUUACACAUGCAAGUCGAGGGGUAACGAGAGGAAAGCUUGCUUUCCUUGUCGACGACCGGCGCACGGGUGAGUAACGCGUAUCCAACCUGCCCCCAACUAGGGAAUAACCUUGCGAAAGUAAGACUAAUACCCUAUAAUUUCCUCAGAUGCCAUCUGACGAGGAAUAAAGAUUUAUCGGUUGUGGAUGGGGAUGCGUCUGCUUAGAUUGUUGGCGGGGUAACGGCCCACCAAGGCAACGAUCAGUAGGGGUUCUGAGAGGAAUGUCCCCCACAUUUGAACUAAGACACGGUCCAAACUGCUACGGGAGGCAGCAGUGAGUAAUAUUGGUAGAUGGGCGGAAGCCUGAACCAGCCAUGUAGCGUGCAGGAUGGCGGCCCUAUGGGUGGUAAACUGCUUUUAUACAGGAAUAAAGUUAGCCACGUGUGGUUAUUUGUAGGUACUGUAUGAAUAAGGACCGGCUAAUUCCGUGCCAGCCGCCGCAGUAA
RNAcentral lists this ribosomal RNA (506 nucleotides) under uncultured bacterium. RNAcentral's name for it is "partial 16S ribosomal RNA". It matches the Rfam family "Bacterial small subunit ribosomal RNA", at positions 28 to 523 of the family's 1533-position model. The record is from RNAcentral.